This 117-nucleotide non-coding RNA is filed under the name Pan troglodytes (chimpanzee). The record is from Rfam by way of RNAcentral. RNAcentral also lists the same sequence under 2 other names. Lineage: Eukaryota; Metazoa; Chordata; Mammalia; Primates; Hominidae.
GCCGGGUGUGGUGGCUCACACCUGUAAUCCCAGCACUUUGGGAGGCCGAGGCGGGUGGAUCACCUGAGGUCAGGAGUUCAAGACCAGCCUGGCCAACAUGGUGAAACCCCAUCUCUA